AGAGUUUGAUCAUGGCUCAGAUUGAACGCUGGCGGCAGGCCUAACACACGUAAGUCGAGCGGAUGAAGGGAGCUCCUGACUAGCGGCGGACGGGUGAGUAAUGCCUAGGAAUCUGGCUCGGUGGGGGAUAACGAAAUCAGAAAUGGCGCUAUUACCGUACGUCCUGAGGGAGCAGUGAUCUUCGACCUCAUGCUAUCAGAUGAGCCAGGUCGGAUUAGCUAGUUUGUGGGCAAAAAGCCUACCAAGGACGAUCUGUAACUGGUCUGGAGGAUGAUCAGUCACACUGAACUGAGACACGGUCCGACUCUACGGAGGCAGUGGGGAAUAUUGGACAAUGGGCGAAAGCCUGAUCCAGCCAUGCCGCGUGAAGAAGGCUCGGAUUGUAAAGCACUUUAAGUUGGGAGAAGGGCAGUAAGUUAAUACCUUGCUGUUUUGACGUUACCAACAGAAUAAGCACCGGCUAAUCUCGUGCCAGUACGCGGUACGAAGGGUGCAAGCGUUAAUCGAAUUACUGGCGUAAAGCGCGUAGGUGGUUCAGCAAGUUGGAUGAAAUCCCGCUCAACCGAACCAAAACUACUGAGCUAGAGUACGGUGAGGGUGGUGGAAUUUCCUGUAGCGGUGAAUGCGUAGAUAUAGGAAGGAACACCAGUGGCGAAGGCGACCACCUGGACUGAUACUGACACUGAGGUGCGAAGCGGGGAGCAAACAGGAUUAGAUACCCUGGUAGUCCACGCCGUAACGAUGUCGACUAGCCGUUGGGAUCCUUGAGAUCUUAGUGGCGCAGUAAGCGAUAAGUCGACCGCCUGGGAGUACGGCCGCAGGUUAAAACUCAAAUGAAUUGACGGCCCGCACAAGCGGUGAGCAUGGCCUAAUUGAAGCAACGCGAAGAACUACCUGGCCUUGACAUGCUGGAGAACUUUCCAGAGAUGGAUUGGGCUUCGAACUCAGACACAGGUGCUGCAUGGCUGUCGUCAGCUCGUGUCGUGAGAUGUUGGGUUAAGUCCCGUAACGAGCGCAACCUUGUCCUUAGUUACCAGCACCUCGGGUGGGCACUCUGAGACUGCCGGUGACAAACCGGAGGAAGGUGGGAUGAGUCGUCAUCAUGGCCUUACGGCCAGGGCUACACGUGCUACAAUGCAGUACAAAGGGUUGCUGCCGCGAGGUGGAGCUAAUCCCAUAAAACCGAUCAGUCCGGAUCGCAGUCUGCAACUCGACUGCGUGAAGUCGGAAUCGCUGUAAUCGUGAAUCAGAAUGUCACGGUGAAUACGUUCCGGGCCUUGUACACACCGCCCGUCACACCAUGGGAGUGGGUUGCUCCAGAAGUAGCUAGUCUAACCGCAAGGGGAUGGUUACCACGGAGUGAUUCAUGACUGGGGUGAAGUCGUAACAAGGUAGCCGUAGGGGAACCUGCGGCUG
This 1416-nucleotide ribosomal RNA is filed under the name metagenome. RNAcentral's name for it is "bacterial SSU rRNA". It matches the Rfam family "Bacterial small subunit ribosomal RNA". The record is from RNAcentral.